Episyrphus balteatus (marmalade hoverfly) is the source of this 2151-nucleotide RNA transcript. RefSeq lists it as uncharacterized. NCBI's taxonomy places the organism in Eukaryota, Metazoa, Arthropoda, Insecta, Diptera, Syrphidae. The record is from RefSeq and is a predicted model, not a curated record. The transcript is spliced from 4 exons.
UGAAAAAACAAAUUGGCCUUGUCAGUCGCGGGUAAAAUCAGUGCGACUCACAAUAUCGAAAAAAGUCUCGCGUUAAGUAUUUAGUGUAAAAGAGAAUAUAUAAUGUUAGGUCUGUUUAAGUACUAAACAAACAACAAAUUUCAGCCCACAGUAAAAGCAGAAUAUCUACUCAAACAGAAAAUCUACCUCCAAAAGACAGCGGGUAAUAAUAAAUAUCCUGAGAAAAAUUGUUUCAUGUGUAGACGGGGUGUAAUGCAAAAAAACCGCGUUUUAUUUGAUCACAUUGAAAGCGUUGCUUUGCGUUGCAUUUAUGUUCGCUAUAUCAGUGUUACCUCUGUUAAGAAAAAAGUGUUAAAAUCAAACAGAAACUUAACAUUCGUGGAAAUAAUGAAUUAUUGAAUCCAAGUAAUUGUUUAAGUGACAAAAUGUUGCUAAGUAAACGGUAUUUAAAAAAAAAAAAAACAAUUCAUUUCGAUAAAACAUGUUCGUAAGUAUAAUGUUUGUUCGAAGUCCACUUUAAAUUAUAGAUAUAACUUCAUUGGCCACUUUUUGCAAAAAGUGCAAAAGUAAAAAUAUUUUUCUCUUACUAGCUCCACCCACCGUUUUUUCGCGUGCAAAAAGUGCAUAAAUUGCUUUAAAACUUAAAAUGAAAGGUUUUCAACACAUUUUUUAAGUUUUAAUAAGUUUCAUUAAAAUAAAUAUACAUAUAUUAAUUCCAAAGGUAUAUUUUAAGAAAAGUUUCAUUACAUUUUAAAAAUUUCUACACGGCAACACUUUUUUUCAAACUCAUCGGUCAUCGCAUCAAUUCUAUCGCACAUGCGCAGUAAGUGUGUGUGUCGAACGAAAACGGUAAAAUUGUUGCGUUGAGUUUUCAGUCUGGCUGGUUCUUGGAUAAAGUAAGGAAGCAAAAGCAAGUUAGUUCGUGUUGGAUACAUUUUGAUAUAAAGGUGCCAAAGAUCAAUUUUAAAUCGAAGUCCACAUUAAAUUAAAUAUAUAUUAAUUCCAAAGGCUGGCUCUGGGAUAAAUUAAGGAAGCAAAAGCAAAUAACUUUGUAUUGGAUACAUUUUGAUUGUUGAGAAAAUGAUUCUUUUCAUUACUGCUGUAUAUAAAGGGUUAUCAUCAAUAAUAAAAGUCCAAGGACAAUCUAGUUUAUUAACAUACUUAGAGUUGGCCAAAGCUGUCAAAGAUCAAUUUAAAAUCAUCGGAAAUAUUAAAUUUUACGAUGCAAAAGCUAACGUUUUUAUUUGUGAUGAGGACGUAGUUGAGUAUGCAAUCCAGUUUAAAUCUUCUCCAAGCUGGACCUUAGGAGUGCUAGACGAUGGCGUUCUUGAAAUUCCAGGUAAACAUUUAGCCAGUUCAUGUGAAAUUAGUAUUUUUUAAAGUCGCUCAUACACAUCACAUUUGUGCCCGCACCGGUCUCAUGAAAAAAAAAGAUUGAUUUUAUUACCUACCUCCGGUGAGCGCUUUUGUGUGAUGUGUAUGGGCUACUUAAAUCUUAACAACCCAUUUAAAUCAGUUUUUAUUAUGAAUUAAAAUCAAUUUCUUUUUUUCAAAUGAUCAGGUUCCCAAGGAAGUUCCCUAUCAAUACGUGACAGUGAUACUACUGUAGCAAAUUCAUCUUCUAUAAGUUACAUUAGUGUAACACCAUCGCCACCACCGAAACAUCCUUCAGAAAUAAUACUUCAAGAAUAAGUGACGUGCAAGAAUACGUUAUAACUAAAAUCAAUGCUCAGGUUCCCAAGGAAGUUCCCUAUUAAUACGUGACAGUGAUACGAGUGCAGAAAAUUAAAGACUCUUAAGGAACCCGGCAUCGAGAAUAUACAAAUAAUUCCUAAAAAUAUAACAUCCUCCAGUAACAAUACAACUCCUCAAGAAGAAACAUCCUUCAGAAAUAAUACUUCAAGAAUAAGUGACGUGCAAGAAUACGUUAUAACUAAAAUCAAUGCUCAGGUAAAAACAUUGAAAUAACUAACUGAAUUUUUCAUUUUACAAAAUAUAUAGGGGCCCUUCUAUGUAACUCUGUUCUACUUUCGGAUCUGUUUAGAAGCUACUUUCGAUUUAAAUUUUUAUCCAAACUACAUAAUGUAUCUGAAUCUUGCGAAUACAUUAUAAAAAUAAAAAUUUGAACACUUAUUGUAGAAUCGAAUUACA